This 444-nucleotide ribosomal RNA is filed under the name uncultured bacterium. RNAcentral's name for it is "partial 16S ribosomal RNA". It matches the Rfam family "Bacterial small subunit ribosomal RNA", at positions 339 to 795 of the family's 1533-position model. The record is from RNAcentral.
CUACGGGCUGCACCAGUGGGGAAUAUUGGGCAAUGGAGGAAACUCUGACCCAGCGACGCCGCGUGAGGGAUGAAGGCCUUCGGGUUGUAAACCUCUUUCAGCAGGGAAUAAGCGAAAGUGAAGGUACCUGCAGAAGAAGCACCGGCUAACUAUGUGCCAGCAGCCGCGGUAAUACAUAGGGUGCAAGCGUUGUCCGGAAUUAUUGGGCGUAAAGAGCUCGUAGGUGGUCGAUCACGUCGGAUGUGAAAUUCUGAGGCUUAACCUCGGACCUGCAUUCGAUACGGGUUGACUAGAGUGUGGUAGGGGAGACUGGAAUUCCUGGUGUAGCGGUGGAAUGCGCAGAUAUCAGGAGGAACACCGAUGGCGAAGGCAGGUCUCUGGGCCAUUACUGACACUGAGGAGCGAAAGCGUGGGGAGCGAACAGGAUUAGAUACCCUCGUAGUC